AAGUCGUAACAAGGUUUCCGUAGGUGAACCUGCGGAAGGAUCAUUAUUGAAUAAACUUGGUAUAGGUUGUUGCUGGCCUCUAGUUUAAGGGGCAAUGUGCACACCUUUCCUUUGUUUCUUUCUUUUCAUCACCUGUGCACAUUUUGUAGACUCGGAUAAUCUUUCGAGGCGACUCGGUUUGGGAGGCUGUUCAUCAGUCUUGUGGUGGCUGCCUCUGUAUUUUUCCAGUCUAUGUUCUUCAUAUACACCAUUGUAUGUUAUAGAAUGUAUUGAUUUGGGCCUUUGAAAAAAGCCUAUAAAUUCUAUACAACUUUCAACAACGGAUCUCUUGGCUCUC
Molecule: unclassified non-coding RNA, 337 nt
Filed under: fungal sp.
Lineage: Eukaryota; Fungi
Description: partial internal transcribed spacer region
Rfam family: Eukaryotic small subunit ribosomal RNA (bases 1-46)
Source: RNAcentral